This 570-nucleotide ribosomal RNA is filed under the name Vibrio parahaemolyticus. Its description in RNAcentral is "bacterial SSU rRNA". It matches the Rfam family "Bacterial small subunit ribosomal RNA", at positions 599 to 1168 of the family's 1533-position model. The record is from RNAcentral. Lineage: Bacteria; Pseudomonadati; Pseudomonadota; Gammaproteobacteria; Vibrionales; Vibrionaceae.
AGCCCGGGGCUCAACCUCGGAAUUGCAUUUGAAACUGGCAGACUAGAGUACUGUAGAGGGGGGUAGAAUUUCAGGUGUAGCGGUGAAAUGCGUAGAGAUCUGAAGGAAUACCGGUGGCGAAGGCGGCCCCCUGGACAGAUACUGACACUCAGAUGCGAAAGCGUGGGGAGCAAACAGGAUUAGAUACCCUGGUAGUCCACGCCGUAAACGAUGUCUACUUGGAGGUUGUGGCCUUGAGCCGUGGCUUUCGGAGCUAACGCGUUAAGUAGACCGCCUGGGGAGUACGGUCGCAAGAUUAAAACUCAAAUGAAUUGACGGGGGCCCGCACAAGCGGUGGAGCAUGUGGUUUAAUUCGAUGCAACGCGAAGAACCUUACCUACUCUUGACAUCCAGAGAACUUUCCAGAGAUGGAUUGGUGCCUUCGGGAACUCUGAGACAGGUGCUGCAUGGCUGUCGUCAGCUCGUGUUGUGAAAUGUUGGGUUAAGUCCCGCAACGAGCGCAACCCUUAUCCUUGUUUGCCAGCGAGUAAUGUCGGGAACUCCAGGGAGACUGCCGGUGAUAAACCGGAG